This is a long non-coding RNA of Myotis davidii, 158 nucleotides long. RefSeq lists it as uncharacterized. Lineage: Eukaryota; Metazoa; Chordata; Mammalia; Chiroptera; Vespertilionidae. The record is from RefSeq and is a predicted model, not a curated record. The transcript has 3 exons.
UGCUCAGCCACUGAGCCCCGCUGACUGGGCUAAAAAUGCAUUUUUUAAAAAAUAAUGAUCGGAGGGAUCUCGGUGUCGGCUCGGACUGCGCUGUCCUCGGGAGGAGGCCCAGGCCACAGCCUUGACUGUGAUCCUGCUCUCUCUGGAUCGCAGCUGCA